UGGAAAUCCUCUUGUUCUUUAACCUUCCA
RNAcentral lists this non-coding RNA (29 nucleotides) under Rattus norvegicus (Norway rat). Lineage: Eukaryota; Metazoa; Chordata; Mammalia; Rodentia; Muridae. The record is from RNAcentral.